Molecule: long non-coding RNA, 1122 nt
Organism: Gasterosteus aculeatus aculeatus (three-spined stickleback)
Lineage: Eukaryota; Metazoa; Chordata; Actinopteri; Perciformes; Gasterosteidae
Source: Ensembl
CUCUGUGUCAUGAUCUGACUUGGCUUUGGAGGUGUGGUUUCAGACUGGGAGAGCAGGUUUCCCUGGUUACCUGGGCGGAGUCUGGUGGCUGCCUGCUGUCACACCUAUACUGUAUUUACGAUCGUCAGGAACCCCUCUUAAGGAACAGCAGGAGCACCAGUCUUCGCCAGAUCGUUUUGCCUUCCUAGUGUCCCAUCCCAGCCUGCUUCGCCGGAACCUGACGGAUUCCCCGGCUUCCCCUCUCGCCCUCCGCGGCUUGGGAGAACUCCUCAAGCCAGUCGGAUCAUUACCUCUCCCUCCAGCGUGGAUUCUAUCUACCGCACCGCUCCUGCCGCCAGCUCCAGGAACACCACUCCCUUCCACCACAAUGUGCGAGAAUGACAUGUUAACCUAUUGCAUUCGACUGUCUUCCACUUUGUCUGAUGUAAGAAAACAGGUUGUAGCUGCACUUCCGAGAGAAGCAACGGGUCCACUACACCGACUGCAACCAGGUGACUUCGUGGUGGUGAAGGACUUCAGGAGGAAAAGUUGGAAAGCUAAACGGUGGCAGGGUCCAUUCCAGAUUCUCCUGGUCACCCAAACAGCGGUCAAGGUACCUGAAAGGGCGACUUGGGUCCACGCAUCCCAUUGCAAGAAGGUUCCAGAUCCAGUACCAGCAGUGGGCUCAGGCGACCCUACCUCCACAACAAGUGUCAAUCAACCGACACCACCGAUCCAGUGACCACGGACAGGCAGUUGACCGACAGACACACAGUGCAUUGUGAUCUGUGUUGACUGUCUACAACACGGGUGCCUCACAAGAAAGAAGGUUGGCAGACUCCACAUCCCAACGUGUACCUGCGGACCAACACAAGAAGAAGAACACGGCCAGGACCCCUCCACAUAGACACAGUAGUCGUUUGUGCCACGACAGUUUUUUAGGGAGUUUUUGUUCUGUGGCAGGCAAAGUUUUGUGAGCGAUGUUCAGAUGUUCAUGUUUGUGAUAUUUGAUGGAUGAACUAUUUAAGUCUCUCUGCUGCCAAAAUAAAAAAAUUGUAUCCUCUGAAUCCUGCUUUUGAGUUCAACCCUCGUUCUGACUAUCACCCGAUGACAUUAGGAUCUGGCCAAACGUGGACUCGGCGG